Molecule: small RNA, 51 nt
Filed under: Arabidopsis thaliana (thale cress)
Lineage: Eukaryota; Viridiplantae; Streptophyta; Magnoliopsida; Brassicales; Brassicaceae
Description: ATSL279200
Source: RNAcentral
UUUUUUUUGGUUUUUACUAUAUAGGCUGAGUGCAAGAUAUAAAUAUAAAUU